RNAcentral lists this ribosomal RNA (414 nucleotides) under Achromobacter xylosoxidans. RNAcentral's name for it is "bacterial SSU rRNA". It matches the Rfam family "Bacterial small subunit ribosomal RNA", at positions 33 to 445 of the family's 1533-position model. Lineage: Bacteria; Pseudomonadati; Pseudomonadota; Betaproteobacteria; Burkholderiales; Alcaligenaceae. The record is from RNAcentral.
UAUUACGCUAGCGGGAUGCCUUACACAUGCAAGUCGAACGGCAGCACGGACUUCGGUCUGGUGGCGAGUGGCGAACGGGUGAGUAAUGUAUCGGAACGUGCCUAGUAGCGGGGGAUAACUACGCGAAAGCGUAGCUAAUACCGCAUACGCCCUACGGGGGAAAGCAGGGGAUCGCAAGACCUUGCACUAUUAGAGCGGCCGAUAUCGGAUUAGCUAGUUGGUGGGGUAACGGCUCACCAAGGCGACGAUCCGUAGCUGGUUUGAGAGGACGACCAGCCACACUGGGACUGAGACACGGCCCAGACUCCUACGGGAGGCAGCAGUGGGGAAUUUUGGACAAUGGGGGAAACCCUGAUCCAGCCAUCCCGCGUGUGCGAUGAAGGCCUUCNGGUUGUAAAGCACUUUUGGCAGGAG